Long non-coding RNA from Suricata suricatta (meerkat), 4567 nucleotides. The record is from Ensembl. Lineage: Eukaryota; Metazoa; Chordata; Mammalia; Carnivora; Herpestidae.
AAGCGGAGUAGCCCGGAGGUCCGGGCCCCUCACUUCACAGGCCCGUGGACACCAGUGACAACUCAGUCCUCCCGGCCCCGGCAGGAGCGCCCGGCCCAAGGGCUGGUGCCCGCCGCCGGGGCCCCCGGAAACCCCGCUCACCCUGGUCCCGUCCCCCCGCCUUCAGAAGCCUGGGUCUCAGGGGGAGUCUGCAUCACCAGAGGGUUUGGGAUCCAAGGGCAAACAUGCACCCCAACAGUCUGUUGGCGCCCCCCGCGAGCCAGCAGCCGCGAGUCGUGCCGAGGCGGGGGAAAGGGGACCCGAGGGGCAGCACGACACACCCCCGCCAGUGACAGGGCUUCGCCAGCCAAGUGUGCAGGGCCCUGGGGCGCCGCCUUCACCUCGGUCCGCACGGAGCUGGUCCUCGCCCUCCUCCCCGCGGCGCCUGGGAGCCGAGGGAACCGCGGGUCCGGGGCUNNNNNNNNNNNNNNNNNNNNNNNNNNNNNNNNNNNNNNNNNNNNNNNNNNNNNNNNNNNNNNNNNNNNNNNNNNNNNNNNNNNNNNNNNNNNNNNNNNNNUCUCCCUCACCCCUGUGACUCUUCCCUCGUCCCGCGCCCCCUCCCUCGCCCCUGCGGCUCCUCCCUCACUUCAUCCUCCCCGCCUUCACCCCUGCCCCCCUCAUCCCUGUGCCCCUCCCUCACUUCCUCCUCCCUUCCUUCACCCCUCCCUCAUCCCUAUGGCCUCCCUUACUCUUUGCCCCCUUCCUUGUCCCACACCCCCUCCCUCACCUCAUCCUCUCCCCCACAGCCUUCUCCCUCACCCUUGUGCCUUCCCUUGCCCUCUCACCCCUGCCCCCUCACUCAUCCCUCUCCAGCUGCCUGACUGUGCUCCUCACACACAGCAGGUGCACUUGGCAUGUGCUCAGUUGCACCGGCUGCGCUCCCCCUGCCCGGAUGCUCACCCCCAGCUGUCUGCUUGGCUCCCUGCCACCUCCUGGGAGCUCCGACUGCUCUGGGCGCACCCAGAAGGGCGGGCGGGCUCCGGACCGCAGCAGGAAAGCAAGUAUUGCAACCAAGUGGGUCAAAUGAUUUUUUUUGUUUCCCGGUUAUGUUUACACAAUACUGUCAGUUAUUAAGUGUGCAACGGCAUUGUGUCUAAAAAACAACGUAGGUGCCUUCAGUACAAAAAUACUCUGUCGCUAACAACAGCUGGCCGUCACCUGAGCUUCCGGCCUGCGCGGCCCUCUGCUGGGGGGGGGGGGGCUGCCCCGAUGCUGCCGGCCGCCCGCUGGGCCCCUGGCGGCUGUGGAAGCCGGGGCGUCGGUGGGAAGUUCUCAAACACGACGACAGCGUGCAGUGUGCUACGGCAGUGGGCCCGUUUUGUCCCGAGCGAGGUCUCCCGAGCGUGUGAUGCUGUUUGAUAGGAUGUUACUCUGGGCCACGGUAGAGUGGUCGUUGGGACCCCUUAGCAUCCUUGAGAAAGUUGUUUUUCAGGUGCCGCACAAGAGCGGGUGAGGCAAUGUCAUGAGGACAGAGCCCCGUGUCGCACGGCCGUAGAGGCGUCCCGGUGACCUCGUGGUCAGUCAGCGCCAGGUGGCACGAGGCGGCAGGCCCCUCGGCGCCGUUCAUCCGAAGCCGUUCAUCUCAAAGACCUGCUGCCUGGACCCCACUCCGCAGGGGCUCUGACUGAUGGGAGGAGGGGAGUGGACACGCAACGCUGGCAUUUAAACAUUUUUUAAAUGUUUAUUUAUUUUUUGAGAGACAGAGUGUGAGCAGGGGAGGGGCAGAGAGGGACACACAGACUCGGAAGCAGGCUCCAGGCUCCGAGCUGUCAGCACAGAGCCCGACGUGGGGCUCGAAUUCACAGACCGUGAGAUCAUGACCUGAGCCGAAGUCGGACACUCAGCCGACUGAGCCCCCCAGGCGCCCCCACACUGGUAUCUUAAAAGUGCCCUGCUGAUUCUGUGGGGCAGCCAGGGCCCAGGCACUCGGCGAAGGCUUGGACUCGGAGCAGGUGGAGACAUGAGUCCGGCCCUCAGGUUAGGACGUUCCAAGAAACACCGAUUCCCCACCUGUGGGCACGUUCCUCAGUUAUGAGUCACACAAAUGCACCGAAAAAACCCACAUCUGACCCCGGGAGCCUACAGUUUAUGACAAGGCGGGUGGUAAGUACCGUCAUUCUCCAGAUCUUCCCCUCGCUCACCUGCGGACAGGUUUACCGGCAAGCGAAUUACUAGGGUGGUGUGGGCCGCAACAGGCCAGGGCAGCCCGGCCCCCAGGUGACACGGCCCGCGCCCCCCGCGGCGGAGAGUCACUGUCAGGGCCGAGAGCCUGGGGCCUGUCCGCAUGGCUCCUUCCUCCAAGCCCCAAGCUUCCCUCACUCAAGCCCGUGCCUCAGCGAGGACGGCGCGCCGUCUGGAAGGGAAGCGCCCCUGCGCUGGUGCCUUCGGAGGCCUCCUCUCUGCAAAUGUCCUGAGGUCAGGGUUUCUGGGACCGGGCCUCCCCACGCCGUGUGCUCUGCGGCCGGAUGAGAGCUGGGGCCCAGAUGCUGCCACAUUCACUGCUUAUCUCGGGCUCCUUUUGGGAGGAAUGCGGACGCGGAGUGGGGGGAAGCACGAGUGAGGCUUUCCUGUUUCUCCAGCCCUGCCCCCCUCAUGCCCCCAUUCUCUAAGAGCCUGUGGCCAAGUGCCAGGACCCUCACCCCUGCAAGCGGCCGCCCCCCUGCCGCUUCCUCGGGGUGGUGGGGGUGCCUCUGUGCAGGGAUCCUCCUGUGAGGCUGGGAGGCCUGAGUGUCAGGUGACACUGAACCACAUGGGACCCCUCAGCAGCUUGCCGGUGGGAGCCCAUGACCUCCCUCCUUCUGGAAAGUUCCAGAUGAGAUUUGGGUCUAUCAGCUUCCGCAAACCUGGCAGUCACCAGAGGGCCAGGGUUCAGCAAUCAACAUCCUCAGGGACGUCCUGCUUUUGGGUCAAUGCCUCAUCCUCACUCGGAGAACAAGGGCAGGAAAUGCACUGUGGCCACCUGCUUCCUGUGUUGGGAGAAGGGAAGUCCCGAGACCACCUUAGGACUCAACCCUGGGGGUGGGGUGAGUGGACAAUGGCGGGCCACCAAGGGGACAGGGGGGCAGGAGGGGGAGGAGCCCAGGGUCAUGGGGAGGAUGGAGGCUGCAGGGGAGGGGCGCCCACGGAGGAUCGCACGUGCCCUCCCCCAGGCCCCUCCUCCCAGGCGGCAGGUCCUGUGGGCCCAGAAAAGAAGGGGGCACAGCAUUCUUCCUGAGCUUGCUCCCAGCGUCCAUCGUCGGGACUGGAUGGGGCACCCAGAGCCCUGAGGCGCCCUGGGCUGGUUUCAAGGUGGGGGUGGUGACGCUGCUUGGGUAGGGGUCCCUCGGCCCAGUGGCCUUGUUUGUCGUCUCCUUGUUAGGGACCACUUGUCGGGCAACAGAAGGGAGCAGGGUGAGUGGGUGGACUCAGUGCUGGGGGGAUGGAAGGAUGCUUCCCCAGGGAAGAGUGCGGGGCGGCACCCCAGGAGCAGCUCGGGGUGAGAGCAGGGGCCAUCCAGUCAGCCCUGGCAUUGGCGCUGGUGCCUCGCACGGGUCCUUGGAGAGGGGUUCUGCUUUUCUCCAGUUUUGUGGGCAAGAGGGCUGAGCACAGAGAAGCUACAUGGGUGGCCAAGGUCAGCUCCGGCUCGUGCGCUGCUCUGUCGUCUUAGCAUUUCCCAUGUCGCACGGACAAAGGCCAGGAAGCCUCGGUAGCACCCACGCUGCAGGGCAGAGCCUUUACCCAGGGCCACCAAGCUCCAGAAGUUUCCAGCAUUAGGCUCUUGAGGAGCACCCUCUGGGGGUCCCAGUACUCGCACGUGCCCUGGGGUAAGGGGAAGGCUCUGGAAGGUCACUCAAGUCUGACCAAGGCCCAGAGGCCCACCUGCAGCCUCUCCCUGUCCUGUGCCGCUGGACUCUGGGACAGAUGUGUCCUUUGCCCAUGGGUGCCCUGGGCCCCCUGCUCAGGGUAGAAGCGGGGACCCCGCAGGAGUGCGAACCAUCACCCACUAGCGUCCCCAGGAGGCCUGUCUAGACCAGGGCUCUGGCACCUGCAGGGCCGACUUCUUCCGGUGGAACCGCCGGGUCACAGGGCACGCUGGCUCCAGCCCCGGGCCCCAGACACAGCCAGUCCGUGCGCCCACUUCCAGAUUCCCACGGAGCUCAACAUCUUCGGGGCUGCUCGCGGGAAGUUGUGCGGGACUCCACCGCCCACACGUGCCCCAGGCUCCCAAGGGCUUGGGGGGGGGGGGUGUCCAAGAUCCCAGUUCCAGUGCAGAAGUGGGGCCUGUGAGUUGUUAACCUUAAAAAUAAAACUUCCAUGGGGUGCCUGGGUGGCUCGGUCAGUUAAGCGUCCCACAUCAUCUCACGUCACGAUCUCACGGUCUGUGGGUUCGAGCCCCAUGCGGGCUCUGUGCUGACAGCUCAGAGCCUGGACCCUGCUUUGGAUUCGGUGUCGCCCUCUCUCUCUGCCCUUCCUCCACUCACGCUCUUUCUCUCAAAAAUAAACAUUAGAAAAAAAUAAAAUAAAACUUCCAGUUGUUUUACCAGCAAUA